Long non-coding RNA from Felis catus (domestic cat), 1282 nucleotides. RefSeq lists it as uncharacterized. NCBI's taxonomy places the organism in Eukaryota, Metazoa, Chordata, Mammalia, Carnivora, Felidae. The transcript is spliced from 4 exons. The record is from RefSeq and is a predicted model, not a curated record.
UUUUCAGCUCCGCAGACCCCGUUGCUGCCCUGUCUCUGUCGGCCCGAUCAGCGCCCACCUCUACUUUUCUCUUCCGCGUAGAAUGUGGCUGGGGCGUCGGGAAGAAAGGGGAGCUUCACCAUUCACUUCUUUUGCCAGCUCUUGGAAAUAUCCAGAAUGCCUGGCCCUCAAGACAAACCCCAGCUCUCGGCCUAAAAAGCUAAGUCCAGAUAUGUUAUAUAUUUAUUCAAGGCAGCAAUUGGCCAGGAAACGACUAUAAAACACACAUUUUGAAUAAAAGAGGGAGAUUUAUGGUGCAUUUGUGAAUCUGAGUCAUAUCUCUCUGCCUCCCCCAGGCCAGGAUCCCUUAAUCACUAACAUACCCCCAGCCUGUACACUCGGUGGGCACAGAAUUGCUUCCUUCUGGUCCCGUCCCAGUUAAAGAUGUGGUGGGGAUUGUGCUACUUGGACUGACAGUCGGGAAAGAAGGCAGGUAGCAGAGAGAGCUGGGCAAGGCCACUGCCAAUGGCUAGACUUCCAGCUUACGUUACUUCAAGCAGAUAAACAGAACAGGAAAGGACAAAACUCAACCCGCAGAAUACCUGAAUUGGGUUGGAGCAGGAUCCAACCCUACGGCAACUAUCUUAUGCCCGUGGUUUUUAGACGUUGACUUCUCCGGAGGCAGAGGGCUGGGACAGAAGAUCUCUACGCGAUUUCCACAUCAAGAUUUUUAUCAGCUAGGGUACCACCUUAAAGAAAAGAACGUAAUGACAGGAGUCGUGGUACAGAGCUGCCAGGGACAGCUGGGCAGGCUGUGCACUGCACCACUCCAAGAGGCACCACUCAGGGCUCCCUCAAAGCAGCCCCUGACACCAGCAUUUGGGAGCAGCGGUCUGUGUGGGCGAGACCAGGAAGGUGAGGAGGCUUGCUCAAGGCCACGGGGCUAUGUAGUGGGGUGAACACUUGGGCAAAACCCUAUUCGUGCUGGAUUCCUCGUGUGAUGGGCAUUCGGUUUUUUUCGACCUCCUUGCCUCCAUUACUCCUUUUUUGGAGGGGGCACCCCAGUCUUUUGAUGGGGUUUCUCUCUCCUUCAUUAACAGGCAGAAGAAUGCAGUUGUGAGGUCAGAAGAGAGAAGGCGUGGGGUUGUCGGCCUUUUGGGGCGUAGAGAUUUCUGGUCGCUCGUGGUUGCCGCAGGGGGACCCGGGGUUGAGGUGGGGCCUGGGUGGAAGACCUGUGUUUGAAUUCUCGUCCUAAGUGACGACAGUGGCGAUGGCGAGGAUGGUGACGUUUUCCCAACCCUCA